UGUCACCAGCACUGGGGCGGCACUGAGGUGACACCAGCCCCUCCUGCGCCACAGGGGCCGUGCCAGGGGAGGGAGGGAGGGCGGGCGGGAGCGCAGGAUGGGGACAGGCGGGUGGCACUUACUCUGCUGUAUGGACUUGAGGGCGCGGAGGACGGUGGCGGCCAGGAGGAAGCCGCAGCCGGGCUGGUGGAAGCGGAGCCCGCCGGCAACGCUGCAGGCGGCCCCGGCACAGACGGGCCCCAUGGCGACGUACUGCAGCGGGUGGUGCCGCCGGCCCCCCAGCAGCCCCGACAGCAGCAGGGUGACCAGCGGGGUGGUGGUGGCCACCGCCUGUGCCACGUCCAGCUGCACGUAGCUCAAGCCCAGGUUGCCCAAUGCCACACUGGUGCUGAAGGUGAGGCUGAGCAGGUAGAUCCUGGCGCGGGGCCGGGGGGCCGGCGGCGACGGUCCCCGCACCCAGCCCAGCGGGUAGCCCACGGCCACCCCCGACAGCAUGUGGAGGGACGACAGCAGCAGCGGGUAGCGGAAACCGUGGGUGGCAAAGAUCCAUUUGUUGAGGCUGGCCAUGGUGGUGCCGGUGCCCAGCCAGGCCAGGACGGUGAGGGUCAGGGGCAGCGACGGCCCCGGGGGCGGCCGACCCCCUUCUGCCUGCCCCGGGUCAGGUUUCCAGGGCCGGAGGNUGGUGCCGGUGCCCAGCCAGGCCAGGACGGUGAGGGUCAGGGGCAGCGACGGCCCCGGGGGCGGCCGACCCCCUUCUGCCUGCCCCGGGUCAGGUUUCCAGGGCCGGAGGGUCCCCUCGCCGGCCGUCAUCGCCGCUUCAUCGCCCCGCCGGGACCGCAGGCACAUGGGCACCGGCUCCGCUCUCCCCCGCUGCCACUCGCCGCUCUGCCCCGUCCUCCCGCGUCGUGCCGAAAGCCGCCGGCCCUGGGAGUCGGUGGCGGUGGUGACGGCGGUGACGGCGGUAGCGGGUCCCCAGCUCCUGCCGGCAGCGGCGGUGGCGUCACCCGCUCCGGGGGUGGUGGCAGGGCUCAGCCUCGGGGUGCUGGUGCCAUGUGCGAGGGAGGCAGCGCCGGCGGCCGGGAGCGAGCGGAAAGUUUGGUGAUGGCGGGGAGCAGAGGGAGGGAGGCUCCUCCCCGCGGGGCCGCCGCCGCGUCACAGCCGCCCGUGCGGGUGUGUGGGGGUACGGGGGUGCGGGGGGGUGCGGGGGUGCGUGUGGGGCGCACGCCCGGGG
RNAcentral lists this long non-coding RNA (1231 nucleotides) under Strix occidentalis caurina (northern spotted owl). RNAcentral's name for it is "lncRNA (ENSSOCG00000007807.1)". Lineage: Eukaryota; Metazoa; Chordata; Aves; Strigiformes; Strigidae. The record is from RNAcentral.